GAUGAACGCUAGCGACAGGCUUAACACAUGCAAGUCGAGGGGCAGCGAGAGGGUAGCAAUACCUUUGUCGGCGACCGGCGCACGGGUGCGUAACACGUAUGCAACCUACCUCAGACAGGGGGAUAAUCCGUUGAAAGGCGGUCUAAUACCUCAUAAUACAGUGGUUCUGCAUGGGACUAUUUGUUAAAGAUUUCGAUUGGUUUGAGAUGGGCAUGCGGAUGAUUAGCUAGUCGGCGGGGUAACGGCCCACCGAGGCGACGAUCAUUAGGGGUUCUGAGAGGAAGGUCCCCCACAUUGGAACUGAGACACGGUCCAAACUCCUACGGGAGGCAGCAGUGAGGAAUAUUGGUCAAUGGGCGCGAGCCUGAACCAGCCAAGUCGCGUGAAGGAAGAAGGAUCUAUGGUUUGUAAACUUCUUUUGCAGGGGGGUAAAGUGCGGUACGUGUACUGUAUUGUAAGUACCCUGCGAAUAAGCAUCGGCUAACUCCGUG
Molecule: ribosomal RNA, 491 nt
Filed under: uncultured organism
Description: bacterial SSU rRNA
Rfam family: Bacterial small subunit ribosomal RNA
Source: RNAcentral